This is a non-coding RNA of Macaca mulatta (Rhesus monkey), 779 nucleotides long. The record is from RefSeq and is a predicted model, not a curated record. Lineage: Eukaryota; Metazoa; Chordata; Mammalia; Primates; Cercopithecidae.
GACCUGGCCCGCCCCUACCCCGCCGGCCUGCAGACCCCGGUCCGGGGGCCCCCCUGGCGCCCGGGCUAGCUGUCGGGUACGCGUCUUGUAGGCUUUGUUCUCUACAGUGAUCUUGUGAGAAGGAAACCAAGUUGCAGUAUUCUGCCAUUCAAAACUCUCCAGUGCUUCUGAUUCCAAUUCAAACAACGUCUGAAUUUCUCACCACAACUACGAGCGGUGCUGUGCUGGUAACAACCAGUUCGCAGAGGCAGAGAGCCCUGAUUUGUAGCAUUUGUUAAUUGUGGUGCAUAUUCCCCUCCAUGGCCGAUUUCAAGCUUCUAAGCUGAUAUCACUGAGCUCAGAGUUGAGAAGGGAUGCAAAGAAUCAAGACAGAGCCAGUCUGAGUUGACACCAACGCACUGCUGCACCAAGGCCCCACACAUAAGAUCUGGCCCCAGACGCCUUCUCCAGACAACCUGCUUAUUCUGCCACCCCUGUUCACUCUGCUGGAUCACUGGCUUUCUUGCUGUUUCUCGAACAUAACAAGCACAUUUACACCUCAGGGCCUUGGUACUUGCUGUUCGCUGUUUGGGAUGCUCUUCUCCGGAAAUGUGCAUAACUUGCUGUGCCACUUCAUUCAGGUCUCGGCUCAACUGUUACGGAGAGGCCUCCCCUGAGCAUUUUCCCUAAGACAUCCUACCCACUCCCACCCUCCAUCACUUUUAUUCCUUGCUCUGCUUUGUUUUUUCUCCGGGGGCCUCAAUCCCUAUCUGAUAAUAAAUGAUAGAUAUUUAAACUUA